ACUACGUGCCAGCAGCCGCGGUAAUACGUAGGUGGCAAGCGUUAUCCGGAUUUAUUGGGCGUAAAGCGAGCGCAGGCGGUUUUCUAAGUCUGAUGUGAAAGCCUUCGGCUUAACCGAAGAAGGGCAUCGGAAACUGGAUGACUUGAGUGCAGAAGAGGGCAGUGGAACUCCAUGUGUAGCGGUGGAAUGCGUAGAUAUAUGGAAGAACACCAGUGGCGAAGGCGGCUGCCUAGUCUGCAACUGACGCUGAGGCUCGAAAGCAUGGGUAGCGAACAGGAUUAGAUACCCUGGUAGUCCAUGCCGUAAACGAUGA
This 313-nucleotide ribosomal RNA is filed under the name Limosilactobacillus reuteri. Its description in RNAcentral is "bacterial SSU rRNA". It matches the Rfam family "Bacterial small subunit ribosomal RNA", at positions 500 to 812 of the family's 1533-position model. Lineage: Bacteria; Bacillati; Bacillota; Bacilli; Lactobacillales; Lactobacillaceae. The record is from RNAcentral.